Molecule: non-coding RNA, 378 nt
Organism: Poecile atricapillus (Black-capped chickadee)
Lineage: Eukaryota; Metazoa; Chordata; Aves; Passeriformes; Paridae
Source: the annotation of a RefSeq genome assembly
AUGGGGACACUCCGGGCGGCCGUGACCCUGCUGGAGUCCGGGGGGGACCUCCAGCCCCCCGGGGGGUCCCUGCGCCUCCUCUGCCGCGCCUCUGGAUUUGAGUUUGGGAAUUUUGGGAUGGACUGGAUGCGCCAGAGACCCGGGAAGGGGCUGGAAUGGGUCGCAGGGAUCAACAGUGAUGGUAGCACCUGGUACGCAUCGUCCGUGCGUGGCCGGUUCACCAUCAGCAGGGACAACGGGCAGAGCUCGGUGACGCUGAGCAUGAACAACCUCCAGGACGAGGAUUCCGGGGUUUAUUUCUGUGCCAAACCCAGGAAUUGGAGACACUGGGGCAUCGAUCUGGGUGCAGGAGCCACGGCCACGGUCGCCCUCAACACG